GCAGCUGAGACUUGGAGAUGGAUUAGCCGCUGUCGAUGCUAUAGCAAAACCAGAGGUAUGACUUGAAAGAUCAAACUUGAAAGAAGAAACUCUCAAAUAUUUCUUAUUUCAGAUGGAAGAACAAGCUAACAGCGAGAACACUAGACAUAAAUUGCACAUACUACUCAUUGACGCUGAUUCCUCCGAUCCAAGGUGCGGUUCUGUCUUUUCUGUUGAUAUUUGUUGAAGUGAUCAGAUAACUCCGUUGCAGUAAAUGGGCUAAGCUGCCCUCCAGAGGAAUUCCUUCUCGAAACAUUCCUCCGCAGUGUGAAAGCUGCUCUGGAACCCGAAGGAAUCCUCGUCAUAUACGUUGUUUCGCGGGCUCGUGAGCCUCAAGCUCGCUAGACGAAGAAAAAGGUCUGGUUUUAUUUUCUUUCCAUCUUUUCGCAUUCUCUGUGGGGGUUUUUGCGCGAGUUUUCUCUAGAGAAACGCACUGUACAGAUGUACCAUUGCUAUACUUUUUUUUGCAAACAAAAGAGUCCUAAACGAUGAUCCUUGGUGUGUCAUCGAAAUCAAAGGAAAGAUGGUUUUUUGUUCUCCUGCCAACUGCAUGAGAAGAUUCAUCGCGUGAAUCUCUCAGAAAGCCACAGGAGAGAUCGACAAGAUUUAAUCUGUGCAUUGUGUGAAUGAGCGACACGCACUGGAAAUUAAUCGCGUGUAGCCCCAGAAAAGAUGCACGAAAAAGCGAGAGAAUGAAGAAUCUCUCCUACAUGAGAUGAGAUCUUCGUCCAGAGAAGAAGAGAUGAAAGAAAUCCCAGGACAUUGCGAAAGAAGAUUAGCAAUGUAGCAUUAGCUGAACGGGCAAAGCACACGCGAUAGAAUCUUCGCAGUGUCCCAGUACUAAAUGCGCGAGAAAAAAAAGAGAGAGAGAAGAAGGCGCUGUGGCGUCCAUCAGUCGAACAAGGCAGCGAACAACGAAUCGCUGACCCGUGCCAUGGAAGCCGCGAGAAAUCGUUGUGGCAUCCGCGUAUAAGCGAGCCGCAAAGAAAGAGCGGCGCCCUCAAUGUUAAGAUGCAAGAACCCUAAAAAUGCAAAGCCCUAAAAUCGAGACUCGCUCUAGGGCACAUACACAAUGCGGCAAAGAGGAGCAGAUGGGUGAGGCGAGAUGAGCAGUUGGAGAAGGUAUGUGGGUGGGUGAGGAGUUGGGCAGGUAGAUGGGUGAGAUGGAUGAAGUGAGGAGCUCGGUGGGCGAGUGAGGAGCUAGGUGGGUGAGGUGGGUGAAGUGAGGAAUGGUGGGCAUACAUGUUCAUAGGGAAUUAGGCAAGUUUGGUUUGCUGCCGAACCAGACUAGUUCAGCUACAAAAAAGACAAGUGAAAAUGAAACAAAGAAAAAAGAAAGAAAGAUUAAGAAAAAGAAAAAAUAGAAAAGAGAAGAUGGAAACAUGAGACUAAGUAGGAGAACCACUUAUCUGGACUCCAACUUAAAGCCUCUUCACCUCUAGAAAGUGCCUUAAACAUAGUCCAAUUGCUCUCAAAGUUCCAAGGGAAUGAAGUGAUGGAAGUGAAUGUGUUGCUCAAGAAUGGUAACUGCAAGAAUAAUGGAAGACAGCAGCCUAAUAGAUGGACAGUGAUGGUUGAUUAUAAUGGAGUGAUAAUGGCUGAAGUGGUUGGCAGCAUGUGUGCUUGUCACAGAAGAAGAAAAAGCUUGCAAUCUUUGCAAACAUCUGUUGAGAUCACUGUGUACUGUUGCUGUAGAAAUGUGGGAUUGGAUAAAUGUUCGUCCAAAGUAAUGCCUAGUUUCUUAUGCUCAUCAGAUCUAACUGAC
This 1804-nucleotide long non-coding RNA is filed under the name Selaginella moellendorffii. RNAcentral's name for it is "long non-coding RNA (SMOE_LNC001466)". Lineage: Eukaryota; Viridiplantae; Streptophyta; Lycopodiopsida; Selaginellales; Selaginellaceae. The record is from RNAcentral.